Molecule: long non-coding RNA, 823 nt
Filed under: Mytilus galloprovincialis (Mediterranean mussel)
Lineage: Eukaryota; Metazoa; Mollusca; Bivalvia; Mytilida; Mytilidae
Source: RNAcentral
AUUAUGAUUAUGCUUAUCUAAAUGCUGAUAUACUAAACUUUUGAAUUUUUUGGGUCUACGAAAGCGGUAGAGAUGUUCUUGAUUUCUUCUGAAAUACUCUCGUCCCGUCUGUCCCACAUAUUGAAUACCACACUUAGGUUGGGUUCAAGUUACCACAUAUAUUAGGUUUUGAGUUUUUCAGGUAAUAUCACAGGAAAAGGAGAGCGAAAAGGUUCUCCCGUUCACUGUUGACCUUAUAGUAUUUUGAGAAGUUAAUCUAAAACAGGUUAGUCAUUUUUUGGCAUUGCACGGGAAAAUUUGUGGAUAUCCACGUGCAUUUUUGUUAAAUAAUCUGGCUGUAGUGGCAUUACCAAUACGUUUAUUUAUGCACGUAGAUAACCUAGAAGUUGUGUUGUUGAUAAUAUUUUUUCCAUUCCGUAAAAUCAUGAUUAUUUAAUAGGGGUAUAGGAUCAAUACAAAAGACCGGAGGUUGUAACAUUGAAUGAGGAUCACAGUUACGGAAUAGGGAGUAAUUAGGAGUGCAGUAAAGAACUCUUACAAAAACUGUAAUAAAAGGCCCGACGUAUGGACUUAAAUAUAACAAAACUGACAUGUAUAACAAACACAGGGCAAAAACAGUGGUUGUAAGAAAUCGAAUAAAAACCAUAGCAGGGGGCAAUAAUAAAAAAUAGCAGGCGUGGAUGAGUAUCAAUACAUCCCAACAUCGUAAACAAUAAAGAUAUAAACAUGUGAAAGCUCUCUCACAGGCAAACAACCAAUAACUGAAAUAUAUAAGGGCAUACACUACAAGCACGGGGACACAUUCUACUGCAUCCACACAGCA